GGCUUUGUAGUUCAAUGGAUAGAACAGCCCUCUCCUAAAGGGCAGAUCUGAGUUCGAUUCUCAGCGGAGCUA
RNAcentral lists this transfer RNA (72 nucleotides) under Clostridium sp. Its description in RNAcentral is "tRNA-Arg". It matches the Rfam family "tRNA". From Rfam's summary of the family: Transfer RNA (tRNA) molecules are approximately 80 nucleotides in length. Their secondary structure includes four short double-helical elements and three loops (D, anti-codon, and T loops). The record is from RNAcentral. RNAcentral also lists the same sequence under 4 other names. Lineage: Bacteria; Bacillati; Bacillota; Clostridia; Eubacteriales; Clostridiaceae.